Molecule: ribosomal RNA, 381 nt
Filed under: uncultured bacterium
Lineage: Bacteria
Description: bacterial SSU rRNA
Rfam family: Bacterial small subunit ribosomal RNA
Source: RNAcentral
AUUGAACGCUGGCGGCAGGCCUAACGCAUGCAAGUCGAGCGUGAAAGUCCUUCGGGAUGAGUAAAGCGGCGGACGGGUGAGUAACGCGUAGGAAUCUACCUAAUAGUGGGGAGUAACGUUUCGAAAGGAACGCUAAUACCGCAUACGUUCUGAGGAAGAAAGCAGGGGAUCGCAAGACCUUGCGCUAUUAGAUGAGCCUGCGUCCGAUUAGCUAGUUGGUGGGGUAAAGGCCUACCAAGGCGACGAUCGGUAACUGGUCUGAGAGGAUGAUCAGUCACACUGGAACUGAGACACGGUCCAGACUCCUACGGGAGGCGGCAGUGGGAAGUAUUGGACAAUGGGGCGAACCCUGAUCCAGCCAUGCCGCGUGUGUGAAGAAGG